AGGACGAACGCUGGCGGCGUGCUUAACACAUGCAAGUCGAACGGUAAGGCCCUUCGGGGUACACGAGUGGCGAACGGGUGAGUAACACGUGGGUGAUCUGCCCUGCACUUCGGGAUAAGCUUGGGAAACUGGGUCUAAUACCGGAUAGGACCACGGUCUGCAUGGAUUGUGGUGGAAAGCUUUUGCGGUGUGGGAUGGGCCCGCGGCCUAUCAGCUUGUUGUGGGGUGAUGGCCUACCAAGGCGACGACGGGUAGCCGGCCUGAGAGGGUGUCCGGCCACACUGGGACUGAGAUACGGCCCAGACUCCUACGGGAGGCAGCAGUGGGGAAUAUUGCACAAUGGGCGCAAGCCUGAUGCAGCGACGCCGCGUGGGGAUGACGGCCUUCGGGUUGUAAACCUCUUUCAGUAGGGACGAAGCGUAAGUGACGGUACCUAUAGAAGAAGCACCGGCCAACUACGUG
RNAcentral lists this ribosomal RNA (462 nucleotides) under uncultured bacterium. Its description in RNAcentral is "bacterial SSU rRNA". It matches the Rfam family "Bacterial small subunit ribosomal RNA", at positions 26 to 507 of the family's 1533-position model. The record is from RNAcentral.